CGUGUCUUGUCUUGUUUUUUAAACAGCGAGCUUCCAGUAAAGUGCAAAAUCAACGCUUGAAUUCACGCGGAAUAAAAGGAGUUAAGUGAAAAGCCCCGAGCUCGGAGACACCAGCUGGGUCUGUGAAAGGAUUACAAAGCAAACAGUGAAGCAGCAGCACAUGGUAUUUUGGGAUUUUGACUUCCUCAACUCGGGAGGGUUAAGGAUCUUUGCAAGGCAAAACCUUUCUACCUGGAAGACUCUGAAGGAGUUACAUGCAUACAGACUUAUAGAAUUCAUCAUCAUUCAUUGCAUACAGCUUUCUACAGGAAACUGGGCUGCGAGUCCUGACUAACAUACACAUUAUUCUAUUCUAAAAGACUUUGCUCAAUUUUAUUACUACUGUUUAUGAGGAGGAGGUAGAGUCUUCAGGGUUGUUUGGAAUGUUCAGUCUUUUUUAAUGUAGGUUUACAAGAACUUUUUCGUAUGUAUGGUUUCAUUCAGAUUAAUUUUUUACUCAUUUUUAGCUGAAGCAACUUUAUCAUCCUUUAAAAAGUUCACGAAAAUACACAAUGAAGACAUUCAGUGUAAUACAAGGAUCAUAUUUUGUAGGUCUGAAAUAUUUCUGCACUGGAUACUUUCUGGUAAAGGAUGCUAGCAACUGAGGUUUUGAUACAUAAAGAACCCAUCGAACAUCAUGAAAAAAUAUUUUGAUUGUUUUUACCUUAUUUAAUGCAUCUUGGUGCUGGCCAGCAGUUAUCUUCUUUGCUAAACCACUUGAAAAUUGCUCCAGAGUUUUCAGGAGUAUGAUUAGAAACAUUCGGGUGAUCAGUUCUGCUUGUGACUAUAGGGGAAUACCAUUCAGAAGAAAAUAGAUGGGGAAAACCCACCAGUAAAAGUCAAAUGGGCAAUAUAAUAUCCGUUAUAUACUUCUGUAAUUACAUAUUACUUGUGUGGGUUUUUUAUCCUCUAGCAUCCCUGAAUUUGUUAGAUAUCUCCUACCUUGUACAUAAAGACAGGUAUAUAUACAUGCUGCUUUCCA
Long non-coding RNA from Tyto alba (common barn owl), 1021 nucleotides. RefSeq lists it as uncharacterized. The record is from RefSeq and is a predicted model, not a curated record. NCBI's taxonomy places the organism in Eukaryota, Metazoa, Chordata, Aves, Strigiformes, Tytonidae. The transcript is spliced from 2 exons.